RNAcentral lists this ribosomal RNA (411 nucleotides) under uncultured bacterium. Its description in RNAcentral is "bacterial SSU rRNA". It matches the Rfam family "Bacterial small subunit ribosomal RNA", at positions 30 to 429 of the family's 1533-position model. The record is from RNAcentral.
AGUGAACGCUGGCGGCAGGCCUAACACAUGCAAGUCGAGCGGCAGCGCGUCCGACCACCCUCGGGUGGUCGGAUGGCGGCGAGCGGCGGACGGGUGAGGAAUGCAUCGGAAUCUGCCUCGUUGUGGGGGAUAACGUAGGGAAACUUACGCUAAUACCGCAUACGACCUACGGGUGAAAGUGGGGGACCUUCGGGCCUCACGCGAUGAGAUGAGCCGAUGCCGGAUUAGCUAGUUGGCGGGGUAAAGGCCCACCAAGGCGACGAUCCGUAGCUGGUCUGAGAGGAUGAUCAGCCACACUGGAACUGAGACACGGUCCAGACUCCUGCGGGAGGCAGCAGUGGGGAAUAUUGGACAAUGGGGGCAACCCUGAUCCAGCCAUGCCGCGUGUGUGAAGAAGGCCUCGGUUGUAAG